Non-coding RNA from Thunnus maccoyii (southern bluefin tuna), 617 nucleotides. Lineage: Eukaryota; Metazoa; Chordata; Actinopteri; Scombriformes; Scombridae. The record is from the annotation of a RefSeq genome assembly.
UCACAGAGAGUCUGAACUGUUUUCAUGCACUCACACUGAAAACUGCAUCAGGAUGAUGUCGCCAAUAACUCUGCUGGUCAUGUUGGGUUUUCUGAGUCAGGAGUCUUCUGCCAACAAAUUUCUGACUCAGACUGACAAAUUCAAGUCUGUUAGUCUUGGAGGGACGGUGACCAUCAGCGCCACAGGGAGUUCAGAUAUUGGUGCUGAUCUCAGUUGGUACCUUCAGAAACCUGGACAAGCUACCAAACUUCUUAUAUACAAAGCAUCAACUCUAAACUCAGGAACUCCAUCUCGAUUCAGUGGCAGUAGAUCUGGUUCUGGCUACACUCUGACCAUCAGUGGUGUUCAGGCUGAAGAUGUUGGAGAUUACUACUGUCUGGGCUACCAUGGUAGUGGAGUGUUCACACAGUGAUUUAGAGUCGUACAAAAACCUCCUUCAGUUUGACUGAAGUGAAAACGGCCUGCUGCAGCUGCAGAGGGUUGAUGAAGAGACUGUGAUGAGGAUAACUGGUCGAGUGAACACAACACUGUGACUCUGACACACAAGAGUCAUCAAGCAGAACCACAAUGAACCCAAAUUAGACUGAAACAAACUGAAAGACAUUUUCCAACCUGCA